UAGGGAAUCUUCGGCAAAUGGGGGCAACCCUGACCGAGCAACGCCGCGUGAGUGAAGAAGGUUUUCGGAUCGUAAAGCUCUGCUGUAAGAGAAGAACGAGUGUGAGAGUGGAAAGUUCACACUGUGACGGUAACUUACCAGAAAGGGACGGCUAACUACGUGCCAGCAACCGCGGUAAUACGUAGGUCCCGAGCGUUAUCCGGAUUUAUUGGGCGUAAAGCGAGCGCAGGCGGUUAGAUAAGUCUGAAGUUAAAGGCUGUGGCUUAACCAUAGUACGCUUUGGAAACUGUUUAACUUGAGUGCAGAAGGGGAGAGUGGAAUUCCAUGUGUAGCGGUGAAAUGCGUAGAUAUAUGGAGGAACACCGGUGGCGAAAGCGGCUCUCUGGUCUGUAACUGACGCUGAGGCUCGAAAGCGUGGGGAGCAAACAGGAUUAGAUACCCUGGUAGUCCACGCCGUACACGAUGAGUGCUAGGUGUUGGGUCCUUUCCGGGGACUCAGUGCCGCAGCUAACGCAUUAAGCACUCCGCCUGGGGGAGUACGACCGCAAGGUUG
Molecule: ribosomal RNA, 553 nt
Filed under: uncultured bacterium
Lineage: Bacteria
Description: bacterial SSU rRNA
Rfam family: Bacterial small subunit ribosomal RNA
Source: RNAcentral